This 506-nucleotide ribosomal RNA is filed under the name uncultured bacterium. RNAcentral's name for it is "bacterial SSU rRNA". It matches the Rfam family "Bacterial small subunit ribosomal RNA", at positions 791 to 1301 of the family's 1533-position model. The record is from RNAcentral.
UAGUCCACGCCGUAAACGAUGAUCACUCGCUGUUGGCGAUACACUGUCAGCGGCCAAGCGAAAAUAUUAAGUGAUCCACCUGGGGAGUACGCCGGCAACGGUGAAACUCAAAGGAAUUGACGGGGGCCCGCACAAGCGGUGGAGCAUGUGGUUUAAUUCGAUGAUACGCGAGGAACCUUACCAGGGCUUAAAUGUAAGUUGCAUAGACCAGAGAUGGUCUUUUCUUCGGACUACUUACAAGGUGCUGCAUGGUUGUCGUCAGCUCGUGCCGUGAGGUGUCAGGUUAAGUCCUAUAACGAGCGCAACCCCUAUUCUUAGUUGCCAGCAUGUAAUGAUGGGGACUCUAGGAAGACUGCCGGCGUAAGCCGCGAGGAAGGUGGGGAUGACGUCAAAUCAUCAUGGCCUUUAUGCCCAGGGCUACACACGUGCUACAAUGGCGUAUACAGCGGGUCGCGAAGCCGCGAGGGGGAGCCGAAUCCCAGAAAGCCGGUCGUAGUCCGGAUCGG